AAAAGUAUUUCACUGUGAUCUGGUGCAAAGUGUUUACUUUUUCAAAUUUGAGCAGAACAGGUCUGCAAGUUUGCUACUUUCCCUAGUAUGCUAACUAGUUUGCUAACAGACUCAUGUCUGCACAAUAUCGUAAAAAAUGAUAAAUAAUGGCUAGUUUUCUAAAAUUUAAAUUUAUAACAUUCAAAUGGGGUUUCAAACUGUUAGAAAUAGUUUGAGACUC
This 220-nucleotide unclassified non-coding RNA is filed under the name Hevea brasiliensis (rubber tree). Lineage: Eukaryota; Viridiplantae; Streptophyta; Magnoliopsida; Malpighiales; Euphorbiaceae. The record is from RNAcentral.